AAAUAUUAGUUUAAAAAUCAUUAUCAUAUUAAAUUAAUAAAUAAUAUUAGAGGUGUCCUAGGUAAAACAAUCGAUGUUGGAAAUGUGGGAUCGGUGUAUUCUUAUUAAUUUAGAAAGGCUAAAGAUCAAUGUAUAUGAUGGUUCUGAACACAUUGUACACUUAUAUUAGUAUAUAGUUUUUAUUUAUCACUUCAAGAAGGACACUGAAAUUUAGGUUUUUGUUUGGACAUCGCCUUCACCCAAUUUAAUCAUGUCAUACCUACUAAGAACAAGUUGAACAAAAAAAAAAAUCUACUAAGAACAAACACUUGAGACCUUUUUUUUACUAAACACUUGAGGCCUAUGUAGUUAUUAAUUUGUCAAGGCAUAUCCAGACCAUAAUCUAAUUUAUUAGUAGUUGUUUACUUGUUUUUGUGUCGGUGUCCCUUUUUCGGUCGAAAUCUCUAUCCGUUUAUGUAUGUAUUAAGAAAAGGCAAUGAAAACAAAAUAUGGAAGGAAUGUUGAAGGGAGACGACGAUUAUACUUUACCUUCCAUAUUUAUUUAAGUAUUAAAUAUUCGUUUUCUUUCAUGAAGAGUAUCACUUUAUAUCAUUUAUAUCACUUUAUACUCUCAUUAAAACUAACUAAAAUAUAUUAAUGUUUUAAUAAAUACAUUUAUAUAACCAAACAUUUUAAAAAUAAAUAAAAUUAUUUAUAAGAUCAAUGUAUCUAAUAAUUAAUAUUAAAUUUAAAACAAAUAUAAAUUGCAUUAAAAUUCUUAAAUAAUACUCUUUCUGUAAUAAGAUAGUGUCAAAUGACAUUUUUUUAUGAAACAUGGUGGGUAUUAGUUAUCUUUUAAUGUUUCUAAUUUAGGAAAUAGUGAAAUUAAAAUAUUAACCGACAGUUAUUUUAGAAGAGUUUUAUAUUAAAAAAAUUUGAGGAGGUUGGGUACGCAAACCAUCUU
This 943-nucleotide long non-coding RNA is filed under the name Brassica napus (rape). Its description in RNAcentral is "long non-coding RNA (BNAP_LNC010158)". Lineage: Eukaryota; Viridiplantae; Streptophyta; Magnoliopsida; Brassicales; Brassicaceae. The record is from RNAcentral.